AGGAGUUUCACAUCUCCUGUCUCCAGCUAGAGCCUCCAGAAGUCCUAGGGGCAGGGCAAGCUGGUCCCCAAAAGAGGAUCAGAACACCAGAGAGACCAAGAAGGCCCUGGACAGGCCAGCUCACUUGGUCCAGCCCCAGGCCCCACACCUGUAACAAGGGCCGUGAUGACAGAGGUCUCAGCAAACAGCCCGCGGCCAAGGAGCUGGUGCAGCGAGGAGGGCAGGGGCCCACGCGCAGCCAUCCUCCAGAGAGCAUCAGUCUAGGCUGCAAGCUUGAAGCGGAGCAGAGAGUGGGGAGCAGUUUCCCCAGGGAGAUCUGCACUCAGCCAUGGAAUUAAUUCACUGGGUAUCAGGCACUGGAUACACAUCACUUCAAAUUCUCAACACCCUGGAAAGGUCAGGGUCAAGGUCGGUCGCCGCUUUCUGCCAUCCAGCAUCAGCACCCUCUUCCAAUUAGCACCAUCCAUGCGCCCUGGGGGAUGCGCCCCUCGGCGCAGCGCAGUCUUGGUGGAAGGAUCGUGUGUUACAGGUAUAAUCAAAGCGGUUCAUUUUCCCUCUCCCUUUCCUCUAUGGACUCGGCCCAUCGGACACUGUCCCAGGAUUUUGAGAUUUCAGCUGGUGAUGCAAAGAGAAGCCUGGGUUCACCUGGAACAUCUGGAGCACUAUGAAUGGGUCGCCUGGCCGUGUGGGUCCUGCAGCCCUGCGAGGUCCCUUGGAGGCUGCCUGCUUUCCAAGCCUGUUUUCAUGCCCUUCAGUUCUUCGAACCUCCAGCCCCCAGAGCUGCUCAGCGCAUGCCAUUUGUCGUUUCAUGUAGGGUCAGUUUCUGCUGCCUGUAAUCAUGAGUUUGGUCUGGUCUCUAGGGAUUUGUGGUCCCCAGUUUACAGAUCAGAAAGUUAAGCUCUGGACUAUGGCUCUUAAGCAAAAAGCUCCCCUCCUAGAGAACUCACAGAUCAAGAAGUAUCCAUCUAGGCUGGGCCAGGCCGGAUCUGGAGGUUUGGGAUCUAAAAAGAGAAUGACUCUCUGGGUUAGUUUCCUCACUGAGGCAUGCACACCAGUGUAUCCCCGGCUUGUGCAUUCAGUGUGACCAAAUCCAGGUCCGCACAGAAUGGCAGCUUGGUUUUGUGCAGAGUGUCACUGGUGUGGCACACAGCGAUUUGAGUUAGAACACAGAUAAAAACACGUGUUUAAGAAAUGCUAGGGAGUUCCCGUUGUGACACAUCAGAAAACAAAUCUGACUAGUAUCCAUGAGGUUGCAUGUUCGAUCCCUGGCCUUUCUCAGUGGGUUAAGGAUCCAGCAUUGCCGGGGGCUGUGGUAUAGGUCACGGAUGUGGCUUGGAUCCCCCAUGGCUGUGGCUGUGGUGUAGGCUGGCAGCUACAGCUCCGAUUGGAUCCCUAGCCCGGGAACCUCUAUAUGCCACG
This 1419-nucleotide long non-coding RNA is filed under the name Sus scrofa (pig). RNAcentral describes it as "lncRNA (ENSSSCG00055008284.1)". The record is from RNAcentral. Lineage: Eukaryota; Metazoa; Chordata; Mammalia; Artiodactyla; Suidae.